This 1346-nucleotide ribosomal RNA is filed under the name uncultured bacterium. RNAcentral describes it as "partial 16S ribosomal RNA". It matches the Rfam family "Bacterial small subunit ribosomal RNA", at positions 28 to 1381 of the family's 1533-position model. The record is from RNAcentral.
GACGAACGCUGGCGGCGUGCUUAACACAUGCAAGUCGAACGGAAAGGCCCUGCUUUUGUGGGGUGCUCGAGUGGCGAACGGGUGAGUAACACGUGAGUAACCUGCCCUUGACUUUGGGAUAACUUCAGGAAACUGGGGCUAAUACCGGAUAGGAGCUCCUGCUGCAUGGUGGGGGUUGGAAAGUUUCGGCGGUUGGGGAUGGACUCGCGGCUUAUCAGCUUGUUGGUGGGGUAGUGGCUUACCAAGGCUUUGACGGGUAGCCGGCCUGAGAGGGUGACCGGCCACAUUGGGACUGAGAUACGGCCCAGACUCCUACGGGAGGCAGCAGUGGGGAAUAUUGCACAAUGGGCGGAAGCCUGAUGCAGCAACGCCGCGUGCGGGAUGACGGCCUUCGGGUUGUAAACCGCUUUCGCCUGUGACGAAGCGUGAGUGACGGUAAUGGGUAAAGAAGCACCGGCUAACUACGUGCCAGCAGCCGCGGUGAUACGUAGGGUGCGAGCGUUGUCCGGAUUUAUUGGGCGUAAAGGGCUCGUAGGUGGUUGAUCGCGUCGGAAGUGUAAUCUUGGGGCUUAACCCUGAGCGUGCUUUCGAUACGGGUUGACUUGAGGAAGGUAGGGGAGAAUGGAAUUCCUGGUGGAGCGGUGGAAUGCGCAGAUAUCAGGAGGAACACCAGUGGCGAAGGCGGUUCUCUGGGCCUUUCCUGACGCUGAGGAGCGAAAGCGUGGGGAGCGAACAGGCUUAGAUACCCUGGUAGUCCACGCUGUAAACGGUGGGUACUAGGUGUGGGGUCCAUUCCACGGGUUCCGUGCCGUAGCUAGCGCUUUAAGUACCCCGCCUGGGGAGUACGGCCGCAAGGCUAAAACUCAAAGGAAUUGACGGGGCCCCGCACAAGCGGCGGAGCAUGCGGAUUGAUUCGAUGCAACGCGUAGAACCUUACCUGGGUUUGACAUGGAUCGGGAGUGCUCAGAGAUGGGUGUGCCUCUUUUGGGGUCGGUUCACAGGUGGUGCAUGGCUGUCGUCAGCUCGUGUCGUGAGAUGUUGGGUUAAGUCCCGCAACGAGCGCAACCCUUGUUCACUGUUGCCAGCACGUUAUGGUGGGGACUCAGUGGAGACCGCCGGGGUCAACUCGGAGGAAGGUGGGGAUGACGUCAAGUCAUCAUGCCCCUUAUGUCCAGGGCUUCACGCAUGCUACAAUGGCUGGUACAGAGAGUGGCGAGCCUGUGAGGGUGAGCGAAUCUCGGAAAGCCGGUCUCAGUUCGGAUUGGGGUCUGCAACUCGACCUCAUGAAGUCGGAGUCGCUAGUAAUCGCAGAUCAGCAACGCUGCGGUGAAUACGUUCCCGGGGCU